GGGAGUAGUCAGGUCACUGGUGGGCCUCCUGGACUUCAAAUCCAGUGGUGGGAGUGCUCCUUCCAUGGUGGGUUCGAUUCCCAUCUACUCCCGCCA
Molecule: transfer RNA, 96 nt
Filed under: Dethiobacter sp.
Lineage: Bacteria; Bacillati; Bacillota; Dethiobacteria; Dethiobacterales; Dethiobacteraceae
Description: tRNA-Sec
Rfam family: Selenocysteine transfer RNA
Source: RNAcentral